Molecule: long non-coding RNA, 202 nt
Filed under: Lathyrus oleraceus (garden pea)
Lineage: Eukaryota; Viridiplantae; Streptophyta; Magnoliopsida; Fabales; Fabaceae
Description: Pisum sativum (pea) long non-coding RNA (PSAT_LNC016683)
Source: RNAcentral
AAUCUCAAACAUGAAUGUUUUCUAGUAACAAACUCACUUAGAUAUUCGUCUAUCCUGCUAUCGUCCCCUGCUACCGGAAGGGCGACAUUGGCAGUCAUUAAGAAAUUGUCCUUAAAUUGUGUGAAAGGGAUUAGGACCCGAAAUCAUAAAUAACAAAAAGAUGAAAAUAUAAGUAUGGAAUAAGCGAAUCUCCCGCAGUGAC